This 250-nucleotide ribosomal RNA is filed under the name uncultured prokaryote. RNAcentral describes it as "partial 16S ribosomal RNA". It matches the Rfam family "Bacterial small subunit ribosomal RNA", at positions 524 to 774 of the family's 1533-position model. The record is from RNAcentral.
UACGUAGGGGGCAAGCGUUAUCCGGAAUUAUUGGGCGUAAAGGGUGCGUAGGCGGCUAAAUAAGUCUGAAGUGAAAGUGCGUGGCUCAACCCCGUGAUGCCUUGGAAACUGUUAAGCUAGAGUGUGGUAGAGGCAAGUGGAACUCCAUGUGUAGCGGUAAAAUGUGUAAAUAUAUGGAAGAACACCAGUGGCGAAGGCGGCUUGCUAGGCCAAGACUGACGCUGAGGCACGAAAGCGUGGGGAGCAAACA